Molecule: ribosomal RNA, 402 nt
Filed under: uncultured bacterium
Lineage: Bacteria
Description: bacterial SSU rRNA
Rfam family: Bacterial small subunit ribosomal RNA
Source: RNAcentral
UAUUGCACAAUGGGCGCAAGCCUGAUGCAGCCAUGCCGCGUGUGUGAAGAAGGCCUUCGGGUUGUAAAGCACUUUCAGCGAGGAGGAAGGGUAGUGUGUUAAUAGCACAUUGCAUUGACGUUACUCGCAGAAGAAGCACCGGCUAACUCCGUGCCAGCAGCCGCGGUAAUACGGAGGGUGCAAGCGUUAAUCGGAAUUACUGGGCGUAAAGCGCACGCAGGCGGUUUGUUAAGUCAGAUGUGAAAUCCCCGCGCUUAACGUGGGAACUGCAUUUGAAACUGGCAAGCUAGAGUCUUGUAGAGGGGGGUAGAAUUCCAGGUGUAGCGGUGAAAUGCGUAGAGAUCUGGAGGAAUACCGGUGGCGAAGGCGGCCCCCUGGACAAAGACUGACGCUCAGUCGAAG